Molecule: long non-coding RNA, 504 nt
Organism: Homo sapiens (human)
Lineage: Eukaryota; Metazoa; Chordata; Mammalia; Primates; Hominidae
Exons: 3
Source: RefSeq, a predicted model, not a curated record
GGCCAUUACCAUCUAGAAGCUGGUGGGGAUGUGGCAAUUAGAAGGACUGUUAGCCCUAGUUAAUGUGGUCAAGUGAUGUCAAUUGUUUAGUUUUUAGGUGCAAGGAACAGAACCGACGCUGCUGGACUUAAGGAGCAAAGGAAUUUAUCAGAAGGAUAUUGGAUGGCUUGCAGGAACCUGAGAGGCCCAGAGCCAGGCACUGAGGCUCUGCAGCCAGGAACAAUUGCCCACAAGAAAGCCUUAGAAACACUUCUGUGCUGGACCCCACAAGUUCCACCACUGACAACACGGGAUCAAUAAUGCGGCUACGGUCACUGCCAUCAUCUGCUCUGUACCGCACCUGCUUCUUCCAAACCCCUGAUUUCUCAUCAAUCAGGGUUAGGGAAGAUGUCCCUGACUGGCCUGUGCCUUCAGUUGUGCUCAAGGAGCUGGAAAAGCAAGAUCUGGCUUAAAGAAAGAAGCCCUCUUCUGCCUGAGACCAAGUAAUCAACAAUGUAACUACAG